CGGGGCGUGGCGCAGCCUGGUAGCGCACUUGACUGGGGGUCAAGAGGUCAUCGGUUCAAAUCCGGUCGCCCCGACCA
Molecule: transfer RNA, 77 nt
Filed under: Chloroflexota bacterium
Lineage: Bacteria; Bacillati; Chloroflexota
Also listed under: 1 other name
Description: Chloroflexi bacterium tRNA-Pro
Rfam family: tRNA
About the family: Transfer RNA (tRNA) molecules are approximately 80 nucleotides in length. Their secondary structure includes four short double-helical elements and three loops (D, anti-codon, and T loops). Further hydrogen bonds mediate the characteristic L-shaped molecular structure. tRNAs have two regions of fundamental functional importance: the anti-codon, which is responsible for specific mRNA codon recognition, and the 3' end, to which the tRNAs corresponding amino acid is attached (by aminoacyl-tRNA synthetases). tRNAs cope with the degeneracy of the genetic code in two manners: having more than one tRNA (with a specific anti-codon) for a particular amino acid; and 'wobble' base-pairing, i.e. permitting non-standard base-pairing at the 3rd anti-codon position.
Source: RNAcentral